UUUUUUUUAGAGAGUUCAAAUCGAAAAGAAAGAUUGCGACCUCGAUGUUGGAUUAAAAUAAAAUUUUGGUGUAGAAGCUAGAGUAUUUAGGUCUGUUCGACCUUUAAAAUUUUACAUGAUCUGAGUUUAAACCGGCGUGAGCCAGGUUGGUUUCUAUCUCUAAUAAAAUAUAAUAUCUUAGUACGAAAGGACCAGGUAGUAAGUUAAAAAUUUGAGUUUAGGAAUAUAAAUAAUUG
This 236-nucleotide ribosomal RNA is filed under the name Otiorhynchus rugosostriatus. RNAcentral's name for it is "partial large subunit ribosomal RNA". The stretch from base 1 to 159 matches the Rfam family "Bacterial large subunit ribosomal RNA", at positions 2485 to 2643 of the family's 2925-position model. Lineage: Eukaryota; Metazoa; Arthropoda; Insecta; Coleoptera; Curculionidae. The record is from RNAcentral.